GCGUAUUAGCUAGUUGGUGAGGUAAAGGCUCAACCAAGGCAGUGAUACGUAGCCGACCUGAGAGGGAAUCGGCCACAUUGGGACUGAGACACGGCCCAGACUCCUUGGGGAGGAGACAGUAGGGAAUCUUCCACAAUGGACGCAAGUCUGAUGGAGCAACGCCGCGUGAGUGAAGAAGGGUUUCGGCUCGUAAAGCUCUGUUGUUAAAGAAGAACGUGGGUAAGAGUAACUGUUUACCCAGUGACGGUAUUUAACCAGAAAGCCACGGCUAACACGUGCCAGCAGCCGCGGUAAUACGUAGGUGGCAAGCGUUAUCCCGGAUUUAUUGGGCGUAAAGCGAGCGCAGGCGGUCUUUUAAGUCUAAUGUGAAAGCCUUCGGCUCAACCGAAGAAGUGCAUUGGAAACUGGGAGACUUGAGUGCAGAAGAGGACAGUGGAACUCCAUGUGUAGCGGUGAAAUGCGUAGAUAUAUGGAAGAACACCAGUGGCGGAAGGCGGCUGUCUGGUCUGCAACUGACGCUGAGGCUCGAAAGCAUGGGUAGCGAACAGGAUUAGAUACCCUGGUAGUCCAUGCCGUAAACGAUGAUUACUAAGUGUUGGAGGGUUUCCGCCCUUCAGUGCUGCAGCUAACGCAUUAAGUAAUCCGCCUGGGGAGUACGACCGC
Molecule: ribosomal RNA, 663 nt
Filed under: Pediococcus sp. LQC 1966
Lineage: Bacteria; Bacillati; Bacillota; Bacilli; Lactobacillales; Lactobacillaceae
Description: bacterial SSU rRNA
Rfam family: Bacterial small subunit ribosomal RNA
Source: RNAcentral